UUUUUCGAUCGGGUGUAGGGUCUGAAAUAACUCAUAAAUUGGAGUGUUGUCUAUCAGCUUCAUCUUGUGUUAUUGGUCGAGACUGGAACAGCACUACAUCU
This is a small nucleolar RNA of Malus domestica (apple), 101 nucleotides long. RefSeq annotates it as small nucleolar RNA snoR97. The record is from RefSeq and is a predicted model, not a curated record. NCBI's taxonomy places the organism in Eukaryota, Viridiplantae, Streptophyta, Magnoliopsida, Rosales, Rosaceae.